This 253-nucleotide ribosomal RNA is filed under the name uncultured bacterium. RNAcentral describes it as "partial 16S ribosomal RNA". It matches the Rfam family "Bacterial small subunit ribosomal RNA", at positions 524 to 776 of the family's 1533-position model. The record is from RNAcentral.
UACAGAGGGUGCAAGCGUUGUUCGGAAUUAUUGGGCGUAAAGGGAGUGUAGGCGGUGAGUUAAGUCUUCUGUGAAAGCUGCGGGCUUAGCCUGCAAAGUGCAGAGGAAACUGGCUGACUUGAGUGUCGGAGAGGAUAGGGGAAUACCCAGUGUAGAGGUGAAAUUCGUAGAGAUUGGGAAGAACACCAGUGGCGAAGGCGGCUAUCUGGACGGUUUCUGACGCUAAGACGCGAAAGCGUGGGGAGCAAACAGG